GAUGAACGCUGGCGGCGUGCCUAAUACAUGCAAGUCGAGCGAACAGACGAGGAGCUUGCUCCUCUGACGUUAGCGGCGGACGGGUGAGUAACACGUGGAUAACCUACCUAUAAGACUGGGAUAACUUCGGGAAACCGGAGCUAAUACCGGAUAAUAUAUUGAACCGCAUGGUUCAAUAGUGAAAGACGGUUUUGCUGUCACUUAUAGAUGGAUCCGCGCCGCAUUAGCUAGUUGGUAAGGUAACGGCUUACCAAGGCAACGAUGCGUAGCCGACCUGAGAGGGUGAUCGGCCACACUGGAACUGAGACACGGUCCAGCCUCCUACGGGAGGCAGCAGUAGGGAAUCUUCCGCAAUGGGCGAAAGCCUGACGGAGCAACGCCGCGUGAGUGAUGAAGGUCUUCGGAUCGUAAAACUCUGUUAUUAGGGAAGACCAAAUGUGUAAGUAACUAUGCACGUCUUGACGGUACCUAAUCAGAAAGCCACGGCUAACUACGUG
This 497-nucleotide ribosomal RNA is filed under the name uncultured bacterium. Its description in RNAcentral is "partial 16S ribosomal RNA". It matches the Rfam family "Bacterial small subunit ribosomal RNA", at positions 28 to 507 of the family's 1533-position model. The record is from RNAcentral.